UCAUUUUUAUUUAUUUUUCUGUAUAUUCAUUCCGCAUCACUAUUCUCUGGUUCUUUAUCAUAUAUUUUUUUUCAUUUUCUCCCUUCCCCUCCCUUUUUUCUCCUCAGCCCACCUCUCUCUUUUUUUUUAUUUUUUUUCCUUUUUCUUCCCGUCCAGCACCGUUUUGUUUGGCUCAUCUUCCUGCCAAUCGCCCCAUUUUUUUUCUGGCCCAUCUUUUUGCCAAUCGCCCAGCCUCGUCUUCCUCGCCGCGAACGGUGGACUCUAGUAGCGCCAGCCGCUAGCGCCCGUUGAUCUCUCCUUGAUUCUCUCUCGUCUGGAUGUUUCUCCUAAAAUUGAAACAUCUGAAUUAUUUCUCAUCACGAACCGGGUCUGACUUUCAGUUCCACGUUUCAUCUCCAAAUUUUUUUUCCGACUUAUGAAUCUCGCCCCACUCGUAAUAGAGGCAAAAAUCCUACCCGGCUUGCUCUACAUCGUCCUCCGUCCCAAUGGUCAACGUUGUGACAGCAAGGAGCUCUAAGCGCGUGUGCAGGUGGCACGGGCAGGAUGCUGUUGUUACAACUCGGUCGGCUCGAGGUCGCCGUCGAUGACAUGCAAAGCCGCCAGCCGUCGACGGUGGCGGUCGGGACAAAGGUUGGGAGGAUGGGAGGAGUAGCAGCGGCCAGAGCGGAGUUGGCCGGGAUGAAGAUUUGGUUUUCUCGCUCUCUUGAUUCGGAUCCGAAGCAGUGCCCGGGGUGCUACGAUUGGUGAUGAGGCGGAUCGUCGCGAGCGCCGUGUGUGAGGAGGGGGUGGAUCGGGCGGGCGUGCGAGGAGGAGGCAGGGCGAGAAAGAGAUCGGGGAUUUGGAUUUGGAUCGCAUUGCUCGAGUUUGUGUUAGGGAUGGGACGUGAGGAGACAGAGAGGGGAAAGUUCGUGUUUGACUUGGAUGGGAUGUGAGGAAGAGGGAGAGGGGGGGCGACAAAGAGAUCGGGGAUUUUGGGCCAGAGAGGUGACGUACGGGCAACGCCCGCGGUCCUCACUGCCAACUGCAAUUUAACACUCCCUUCAUUCUUUAAAGAUUGGCAUAUUAACUUUUAUUAAGACAAGGGUUUCACCACAAAUUACUAUGCCAAUGUAUGGUUUAUAUGAU
This 1125-nucleotide long non-coding RNA is filed under the name Brachypodium distachyon (stiff brome). Its description in RNAcentral is "long non-coding RNA (BDIS_LNC001169)". Lineage: Eukaryota; Viridiplantae; Streptophyta; Magnoliopsida; Poales; Poaceae. The record is from RNAcentral.